AUACUCUGGUUUCUCUACAGAUCAUAUAAAUCUUUUGCCUUUUACUAAAGAUUUCCGUGGAGAGGGGAAAAAAAAAAAGAAUAAGAUACCUA
RNAcentral lists this small nuclear RNA (92 nucleotides) under Balaenoptera musculus (blue whale). RNAcentral's name for it is "U5 spliceosomal RNA (ENSBMSG00010016077.1)". It matches the Rfam family "U5 spliceosomal RNA", at positions 1 to 88 of the family's 117-position model. Rfam says of the family: U5 RNA is a component of both types of known spliceosome. Lineage: Eukaryota; Metazoa; Chordata; Mammalia; Artiodactyla; Balaenopteridae. The record is from Rfam by way of RNAcentral.